Molecule: long non-coding RNA, 1190 nt
Filed under: Homo sapiens (human)
Lineage: Eukaryota; Metazoa; Chordata; Mammalia; Primates; Hominidae
Description: HSALNT0168779
Source: RNAcentral
AUGGGGGUGAAACCAAGGGAGGGGGGAGGUGAGUUUGCUGGAAACCUGAAGUCCAGGGAAGCUGACAGCUUUGGGUUUUCCUCAAUAACACAGAAGAUGAUUGUUUAAGCAACAGAGGGUAAGACCCCUCUCCCCAUUCAUCUAAGCUCCUCCGUGUGUCCACCGAACUAUAUCACAUCAGCACUUCCACAUCUGUCCUCAUGGCACUGAGCACUUCUCUGGAAACUGACCAGUUAUUGCAGAGCCUUGUUUCCCCAGCAUCAUCCUCCAAGAGAAGGAUCCUACAGGAACAAAGGGAUGCCUGUGGCUCUGCAACUGGAUUGGAAGGAGCCAAAAUUCUCCUGAUUUGAGUUUCUGGUUCUGCUGCAGUCAGUCACACGUCCACAAAGACCUCAAAUUUAUGUCCUCUAAAAACUCAUUGAGUAGUUGCCAUCAUCAUCACGGUCUUCAUCAUGGUGGUAGAAGUUAACGGGAGCAAGUCACUCGCAUUAUGCCAUUGAGACCUCCCCAUCGCCCUGUGAAGUAAGCACCGUGUUCACCCCAAGCUCUGGUUGGAGCAGCAGUUGGAGCAUAAUAAGAGCUCCAGGAAGGGCAGUCACGGCGGCAUUCUGUGCGCAGCACUUGCAUGGGAACAGUCCCUUGAAAGGGAAAAUAAAAAGCUCUAUGGCCUUCUAGGUGCUAAGGAGUGAUUAAUCCACACUAGUCCAUUGAGCACCUAUUCCAUGUCCUUGUGGAAAACACGGGGAUGCUGGGUUUGUAGGCGAGGCUAUACCUGGCAUGCUAUGUUGGGCAUGUAAAGGUUUGCCAAGUCAGCUGAUGGGGGUCUUGGAAGUGUGGAUGGACUACCCCUUGCCCUUGAGAAGCUAUCUUUGAUGAUGAGGGGAGGAUUUGCAGCGUGGCACAAGGUAUGAGGACGAGAAGCACAGAGCCUCUGCCCAGGACAUCUGCCUUCCACACUCAGCUGCCAGCAGCGUUUCUCCACCUUCCCUGGCCCAAGGAGCACCUGAGGGAGGUGGAUAAAGAUGCAGACAUCUGAGCCCUAUCCCCAGAUAUGUCGCUUUGGUGUGUCUGGAGUAAGCCAGGGAAUUUGCAUUUCUACCAAGUUUCCCAGGCGAUCCGGAUGCUGGGGGCCCACAGACCUUCUGCUGAAGAACAAAGACCUAGAGGAGACAGAGAUCCGAGUGGACCAG